UUCUCAGUUGAGGGUCCCCCACUU
This 24-nucleotide non-coding RNA is filed under the name Rattus norvegicus (Norway rat). The record is from RNAcentral. Lineage: Eukaryota; Metazoa; Chordata; Mammalia; Rodentia; Muridae.